RNAcentral lists this long non-coding RNA (1778 nucleotides) under Brassica rapa (field mustard). RNAcentral's name for it is "long non-coding RNA (BRAP_LNC006756)". Lineage: Eukaryota; Viridiplantae; Streptophyta; Magnoliopsida; Brassicales; Brassicaceae. The record is from RNAcentral.
AGGGGGUGGACCUAAGAAUAAGUCUUUGUAAAGAGUCAUUCUUGAGUCAUUCUUGGGUUCACCCCCUAGGGUGAACCUCUAGGUUCACCAACCAAUAGGAUUUCAUUAUUUCAAAUUUGAUAUCUUUUAAAAAAGGAAACAAAAUAUUCUCAAAUUAUAUUAUGUUUUCAAAAUAAAAAAAGUAAAAAAAGAUAAUAGUUACAGAAAAAAAAAUUAAAAAAAAAUAUAUUUUUAAUGUUCUCAACAAAACACUAAACCCUAAAUCUUAAUCCCUAAACCCUAAAUCCUAAACCCUAAACCCUUGGGUAAACCCUAAACCCUUGGGUAAACCCUAAACCCUUGGAUAAAUCCUAAACUCUAAAUAAAAAACACUAAAACUCUAAAAUCCUAAAACCCUAAACCCUAUACGCUUGAAUGUUUUAGUGUAUAGUGAUUUUGAUUUAGAGUUUAGGAUUUAUCCUAGAGUUUAGGAUUUAUCCUAGAGUUUAGGGUUUAGGAUUAAGAGUUUAGGGAUUAGAAUUUAGGGUUUAGGGUUUAAUGUUAUGCUGACGACGUAAAAUAUUUUUUUUGUAAUUAUUACUAUUUUUUUAUCUUUUAAUUUUAAAAACAUAAUAUAAUUUGACAAUAUUUUGUUUCCUUUUUUAAAAGAUAUUGAAUAUAAAAUAAAACAAUCCUAUUGGUUGGUGAACCUAGAGGUUCACCCUAGGGGGUGGACCUAAGAAUAAGUCUUUGUAAAGAGUCAUUCUUGGGUUCACCAACCAAUAAGAUUUCAUUAUUUCAAAUUUGAUAUCUUUUAAAAAAGGAAACAAAAUAUUCUCAAAUUAUAUUAUGUUUUCAAAAUAAAAAAUGUAAAAAAAGAUAAUAGUUACAGAAAAAAAAAUUAAAAAAAAAUAUAUUUUUAAUGUUCUCAACAAAACACUAAACCCUAAAUCUUAAUCCCUAAACCCUAAAUCCUAAACCCUAAACCCUUGGGUAAACCCUAAACCCUUAGGUAAACCCUAAACCCUUGGAUAAAUCCUAAACUCUAAAUAAAAAACACUAAAACUCUAAAAUCCUAAAACCCUAAACCCUAAACGCUUGAAUGUUUUAGUGUAUAGUGAUUUUGAUUUAGAGUUUAGGAUUUAUCCUAGAGUUUAGGAUUUAUCCUAGAGUUUAGGGUUUAGGAUUAAGAGUUUAGGGAUUAGAAUUUAGGGUUUAGGGUUUAAUGUUAUGCUGACGACGUAAAAUAUUUUUUUUGUAAUUAUUACUAUUUUUUUAUCUUUUAAUUUUAAAAACAUAAUAUAAUUUGACAAUAUUUUGUUUCAUUUUUUAAAAGAUAUUGAAUAUAAAAUAAAACAAUCCUAUUGGUUGGUGAACCUAGAGGUUCACCCUAGGGGGUGGACCUAAGAAUAAGUCUUUGUAAAGAGUCAUUCUUGAGUCAUUCUUGGGUUCACCCCCUAGGGUGAACCUCUAGGUUCACCAACCAAUAGGAUUUCAUUAUUUCAAAUUUGAUAUCUUUUAAAAAAGGAAACAAAAUAUUCUCAAAUUAUAUUAUGUUUUCAAAAUAAAAAAAGUAAAAAAAGAUAAUAGUUACAGAAAAAAAAAUUAAAAAAAAAUAUAUUUUUAAUGUUCUCAACAAAACACUAAACCCUAAAUCUUAAUCCCUAAACCCUAAAUCCUAAACCCUAAACCCUUGGGUAAACCCUAAACCCUUGGGUAAACCCUAAACCCUUGGAUAAAUCCUAAACUCUAAAUAAAAAACACUAAAACUCUAAAAUCCUAAAACCCUAAACCCUAUA